AUUAAUUCCACAGUAGAGUCUUUCCUAUUUAUUAUUACUUAGACACUAAAGAAUUAUACUUUGAAAUUUGCACAUCACACCAACAUGGUUUGUGGGGAGUGAGAUUGAAAUACUUACUUUUUGUCUAAGUGUGUUCUCAUUUUUAUUCUUUAUAAAAUAAAGACAGUAUGUGUUAUAAAGUAAUAAUUGCCUCACCUGAAGCUUUGCUAGUAACCGGGCCAGUCCUUCCUAAUCAGCAGUGAUUCUUGAGUCAAACGAUAGAGUUUUGGCACGAGGCAGGGUGGUUAGUUGGUUCCAUAGCCUUUUCAGCUUGAGUUAAUAAGUCCUUAGAGGUGUUCUACACCUAGUGCCCUAAAGCCUUAGUGAUUUGGGAGUCAUUGACCUAAAGCUCGCUACAUGGGUUGGAUCGAAAGCUUAAGGGAACCGAUAUUACACGACCACUACUAUUACUCAAAAAUAAAAAAUAAAAUAAAAAGAAGAAAAAAUAAAAGAAAAGAAGAGAAUGAUUAUAUAAGUAUGUGAAGUAUGAAUAAGAGGGAUAAGAGGUAAGGGUUUUAGCCGAGUCUCCUUAACUAUGAUGGCACACGUUACACCGAAGGAAGCUUGUGAAUUCUUUUCUAAUUGAUUCUAAAUAGCUUCGACUUUGUGGUGGGAUUAGUUGGAUCUAUUGAAAAGAUGUUCCAG
RNAcentral lists this long non-coding RNA (684 nucleotides) under Prunus persica (peach). RNAcentral's name for it is "long non-coding RNA (PPER_LNC005090)". The record is from RNAcentral. Lineage: Eukaryota; Viridiplantae; Streptophyta; Magnoliopsida; Rosales; Rosaceae.